CAGCCGCCGCGGGAAUACCUAGGUGGCAAGCGUUGUCCGGAAUUAUUGGGCGUAAAGAGCUCGCAGGCGGUUUCUUAAGUCUGAUGUGAAAGCCCCCGGCUCAACCGGGGAGGGUCAUUGGAAACUGGGAAACUUGAGUGCAGAAGAGGAGAGUGGAAUUCCACGUGUAGCGGUGAAAUGCGUAGAGAUGUGGAGGAACACCAGUGGCGAAGGCGACUCUCUGGUCUGUAACUGACGCUGAGGAGCGAAAGCGUGGGGAGCGAACAGGAUUAGAUACCCCCGUAGUCCCUGUCUCUUAUAC
RNAcentral lists this ribosomal RNA (301 nucleotides) under uncultured bacterium. RNAcentral describes it as "partial 16S ribosomal RNA". It matches the Rfam family "Bacterial small subunit ribosomal RNA", at positions 509 to 807 of the family's 1533-position model. The record is from RNAcentral.